AAUGGGCGAAAGCCUGACGCAGCGACGCCGCGUGAGGGAUGACGGUCUUCGGAUUGUAAACCUCUUUCAGCAGGGACGAAAUUGACGGUACCUGCAGAAGAAGCACCGGCUAACUACGUGCCAGCAGCCGCGGUAAUACGUAGGGUGCAAGCGUUGUCCGGAUUUAUUGGGCGUAAAGAGCUCGUAGGCGGUUUGUCACGUCGGAUGUGAAACCCCAAGGCUUAACCUUGGGCCUGCAUUCGAUACGGGCAGACUAGAGGAUGGCAGGGGAAACUGGAAUUCCUGGUGUAGCGGUGGAAUGCGCAGAUAUCAGGAGGAACACCGGUGGCGAAGGCGGGUUUCUGGGCCAUUACUGACGCUGAGGAGCGAAAGCGUGGGGAGCAAA
This 385-nucleotide ribosomal RNA is filed under the name uncultured bacterium. Its description in RNAcentral is "bacterial SSU rRNA". It matches the Rfam family "Bacterial small subunit ribosomal RNA", at positions 370 to 772 of the family's 1533-position model. The record is from RNAcentral.